GCAAACUUGGUCAUUUAGAGGAAGUAAAAGUCGUAACAAGGUUUCCGUAGGUGAACCUGCGGAAGGAUCAUUGCAGUGGGUGAUGGCUGGGUGGGGGUUGGCUGAUGGUUGGGUGGGGGAGGCUGGCUGGCUGGCAUGGCUAGCCUGGCCUGGCCUGGCCCGACUGUUGGCGACCACCGGCCACAUUUGCACAGGCGGCGUGGGAGCGGGGCGUGGGUGCUGAUCGGGCGGCGAUCUGGGUGGGCUGGUGCGUGGCGCUGAUGCGCCGAUGCGCUGGUCUGGUCGGAUGGGAUGCUCGGGGGUGCUCACGGCCACGCGGCCAGCCGUCUGAUGUUUGCGCUUGGGUGUUUGACAGAGUGAGGAUGAUGGUAUCCACUGUGAUGGCGACAACUUUUAACAAUGGAUCUCUUGGCUCUUGCAUCGAUGAAGAACGCAGC
This 437-nucleotide unclassified non-coding RNA is filed under the name uncultured fungus. RNAcentral describes it as "partial contains small subunit ribosomal RNA, internal transcribed spacer 1, and 5.8S ribosomal RNA". The stretch from base 1 to 73 matches the Rfam family "Eukaryotic small subunit ribosomal RNA", at positions 1759 to 1831 of the family's 1831-position model. Lineage: Eukaryota; Fungi. The record is from RNAcentral.